AUGGCGGCGGCGGCGCCGUGCACCUCGCGGAGGUCGUUCAGGGACUCGCUCAAGGUGCUGGAGGCCGACAUCCAGCACGCCAACACCCUGGCGUCGGACUUCUCGCCGGACUACGACGGGGCGGCGUGCCCGCAGAUGCGCAUCUCGUACAGCCCCGCCGCGCACAUCUUCCUCUUCCUCCCGCAGCGGGCCGACUGCAGCGUCGCCGCGCGCUCGGCCUCCUCAGGAUCCCCAUCUAGUACAAGGUUUAUGUGGACGGCACCACAGCCAUUUGUCCACCCACGAAAGGAAAGCCAGCACCAAGGAAUUCUUUCUACGGUAACUAAACAAACGUCCUGCAGAAAUUGA
This 348-nucleotide ribosomal RNA is filed under the name Triticum aestivum (bread wheat). Its description in RNAcentral is "partial small subunit ribosomal RNA". Lineage: Eukaryota; Viridiplantae; Streptophyta; Magnoliopsida; Poales; Poaceae. The record is from RNAcentral.